Molecule: long non-coding RNA, 2978 nt
Filed under: Callithrix jacchus (white-tufted-ear marmoset)
Lineage: Eukaryota; Metazoa; Chordata; Mammalia; Primates; Cebidae
Description: lncRNA (ENSCJAG00000086637.1)
Source: RNAcentral
GGCUUAGAAACAUCAGAAAUUUAUUAUUCACAGUUCUGGAGGCGGGAAGUCCAAGAUCAAGGUGCCAGCAUAUUCCAUGUCUGGUAACAGCCCAUUUCCUGUAUUGCAGUCAGUCUUCUUCUCACUCUGUCCUCAAAAGCCCCUUUGAAAGAAGGGCACUAGCCUAUUCAUGGGGGUUCCACUGUGACGACCCCAUGACAUACCAAAGUCCCCACCUCCUAAUAUCGUCGCACUGGUGAUUAGGAUUUCAACACAGGAGUUUUGGGGGGAUGCAACCAUUCAGUCUACAGCAGACAGCAAGGGAGAUCCAGGGUAUGUGGAUCCUAAGAGGGAAGUUUCCCCAGCACCCAGUUCAGAUACUGAAGUCCAGUGAGCAAGUAAGAACCCUCACAAGGGCAGAUCCAGGAAAAACAGAGCAUGGAGUUUUCCCCAGAGGAUAGCCCCAGAGUCAAUGCCAGCCUGUGGAGUCAGGUGUCCUGUGGGGCUGCAUGGGGUGUGUCUCCCACUCUGUUUUGGAAUGGUGGUGUGGUGUUUGUUUCAGGGGUAAUGUGCUUGCUUGCUGGGUGGAAGAGAACAACGGCUGUCCCUCUAGGUGAUUGGUGGUAGCCUAAGAGGAGUCUUGGCCUGGGGGUCCUUUGCAUGGGCAGUGACUGGUGGGACUGUGGCUGCCCCUCUGAGGCCCAAGGGUGCUCUCUGCAUGGACAGGGGACUGUUUAGGAGGCAUGGAAGUGUCAGGCCAAGUCUUAAUGCUCCAGAGACACUUCCUUUUCCAGGAAACCUGAGCUCCCUAACAUUUUUACAUUAGGUGGAGCUGUGUCACAGGCCACAGCAAAAUCUCUCACCCUUGAUUAUUCCUUUUUCCUUUAGGCAUUGAAAUUGGAGGCCGCAUUUUUAAGGUGGUACAAAGAGGGAAAGAGUCUGGUCCCUAAAUCACUUGUUGGGUGUCCCGUGACAUGCCCUGGAUGUAAGAGUGAGAAAUAAGUGUUGCGUGGAGCUACUGAAAUUUGGUCCCUUUGUGUGUGUGGAGUGAGCCUGAGUAUACCGGUCAGUGCACUUGGCUGGGAGCUGCCAACACUGUCACAGUCUCGGCCACAGGGCAGGGACGCAGCCCGGGGACCCGCAAGUCCGAGCCUGGAGGGACAGGGGCAGUCUGCGGGCCUGUGCAGCCUGCAGGUCCAGCACGUCCUGUGUCUGAUUUCCUCGGCUGCCUCCUCACCAGCUGCCGGUCACCGUCAUCGUCUGUCAGGCACAGUCUUUCUCGCGGAGGCUAGGACGCCCGGGCCGCUGUGCGGGUGCGCGGGAUGUCAGGUGGCGGCGUUCCUCAGCGCGGAGCUGCGGGCGGAUCCCCCCUCCCAGCCCUUGGGGCCGCGCGCCCAGGCCCGGCUGUCUGCGCCUCCGUUCCCGCCUCAAAGGGGGCUGCGCGGAGCCCCUAUGCGCGCCUGGAGCCUGCGCCCGGCAACUGCGGCCUGGGAAAGCUGGGCGCUCCAGUUUCUGGUCCAGGUUUUUCCUGCUUCAAGGCUAACACUGUUCUCUAGUCCUGGAAUACCUCCUCCCCAUAAGGAACUCUGCAAGUGAGUUCGGGUCCCAGCUUGACUCCACUCUGGUGCUUUUGCACCUCUCAGUGAAGUAUUCCCGAACCUCAUCCUAACUGAAGAUCUGUUAUCUUCCUUUGCAGCCAGCACCACGCAUGUCAUCGUUUUGCCAGCCUGUCUUCCCUGCUGGGUGGAGAACCUGGGAACCCAGGGCUGUGGCUCCGGUCCGCUGCCCCGCUGCCGUGUCUGCCGUGCUGUCCUGUCGGCCCUGGAUCUUCGUUUCCUGAAUUAAUUACGUAAGGUUAAGGGCAAGGUAACCCACAUUGCUCCUUUCUGGAAACAAGCCUUGGCUUCCGAUUGCCCGAGGGCUCAAGGAGUGUGUGCAUCCCAGCUCCGGCAAGACGCUGAGAUAGACCUGCCAGGGUCCGGGGCCGACGCAGGAGAGCAGUGAAGGCUCGCGCCGCCGCAGGAGCUGUUCCUGGCUCCUCGCCGCCCCCGCCUCCCAGCAGGGAGGUUAUGGCUGCAGCAACUCGGCUGCAGGGCCAAGCUGCACACAUUGCUGCCCACUCCUUCCACUCUUUCCCCUCCCUCUUCCCUCCUGCUGCUUGGGACAAAAAACUGAAGUGAUCUUUAAGGGAUCUGGAGGCAGUCUUGGACUGUUGGAGUCAGACCUUCCCAAAUCGAGGAACCAAAGCGUGUUCUAGAAGGAUGGACACAGGCCAGGUGGGCACAUUCCUUUAGAGCCUUUAGAGCAACGCUGCCGGAGCCGUGAAACACAGCUGAAAUUGGCAGGAGCAGGACACCACCCCUGCCUUCCUGGGCCCCCCGCCCCUCCUCCAUCCUCUCCCCUCCCCCAGGAUUCCUCCCCAGGCUAGAACGCCAGGCUCUCCCUGGUGGGAACUCCUCCCUCCCCAGCCCAUUCCAGCCACCUUCUCUUACCUUUCCCUCCUUGUCCUUUGAUUUUAUCCAUAACUAACCUCUCCCUGAAGUUAGGCAUUGGCUAUUUACCUGUUCAUCAUUAGUCUUCUCUUCUGGAAAGCGGUGGUGGAAGGCAGGAUGCUUGUCUGCCUGGCCUCUGCGGAGGUCAGGGACCACUCAGGGCAGAAGAGCCCCCCUCAGGGGCCCCCUCUCAGUGCCUCAUUUGGAGUUCUGUUGAUUUUUGCACCAUGCGAAUCCCUAUAUAAAAUAAUCACCCACAUAUUUUAAAGUUAGUUGAAGAAAAAUAGUGAAAUUAAAGCAUUCAUCUAAAUGAUUUGAUGUGUCACCGAGUUUUCUCCAAAAUUGCCUCAUCUUUCCUUUGAUGAUGACAGUCUGGCUUGAAAGUGCUCAUAGAUAAUAUUUUAAUUACAGCUAGCUGAAAACAAGCUUACUGUCCGACUUAAAUGACUGAAGAGGAAAACAUGGAAAAGAUGAUUUAGAAAUGAAGGAGGGAUAGAUAUUAGAAGA